CCAUCUCCUCAUGCAAUGGUCCAUGCCAAACCUUAAAUGAUUGCGACGGCCAGUUAAUUUGCAUUGGAGGAAAAUGUAACGACGAUCCUGACCUUGGAACCCACAUAUGCGGCGGAAGCUCGCCUUCCGGGCCAUCCCCUCAGGGCAAUUGUAGCCCAACUGGCUCCAUGACAUGUUCAGGAGAGACUAAACCCACUUAUACAUGCUCUCCGCCGGUUACUAGCUCCACGGCGGCAAUUCUUACGCUAAAUGAUUUUGACGUAGGUGGAGACGGCGGGGCUGAAUCAGAAUGUGACGGCCAAUAUCACAAAAAUAGUGAAAGGAUUGUUGCACUUUCCACUGGUUGGUAUGCAGGAGGGUCGAGGUGUGGGAAAAUGAUAAGAAUCACAGCCAGCAACGGGAGAAGCGUGACUGCAAAGGUUGUGGAUGAAUGCGACUCUAGAAAUGGCUGUGAUAAGGAGCACGCUUUCCAGCCACCUUGCGAUAACAACAUUGUUGAUGGAUCCAGUGCUGUGUGGGAAGCUUUAGGGCUUAACGAGGAUGAUGGAAGAGUACCAGUUACUUGGUCUAUGGCAUGAUGAAAAUGGUGACAUUGAGAUCGAUAUACGCACAACAAUUCCGUCAGUAAUAAGUUGGCUUCUAGAAUAAGAGUUUCCUAAGUCUGGUAUUGAAGUGUAAUUUGGUUUUGAUUUCUAAUGUGUCAAUUUACUGAUAAGUGGCAUCAUGGAAAAUGAUGUCUUGGAUGGCCUUCAAUGGUUGAUCAACCCAGAAUUCGUCUUGAUGAAUUUCUUAAGAUUAGAUAUGGUUUCCAAGUGCUUUCACUUGGGUUCUCUCUUCGUUAAAUUGAAUUUCUUCCUUUCUCCUUUUUCGCGAACACAACUGGUUUAUUGGUGUUUGAUAUGUAAAAAAGAAUUGUCAAUAACAUGGUUUUUUUUUUAAAUGUGCAGUUUUUCUUUUUUGUAUUUCUUGGAUGCGAUUAAUGUUGCAAUAUAUUUUUAGACCGGACCAAGUAUCGACUCGGUCAAAUUCAAGGUCAGGAAUCAAUGGAUUUGAUUGGAUCAAAUCAAAUGAGUUCAUUAAUACGUCACACAUAUGUGUGUGUGCGCCCCAUUCAUUUUUUUUUUCUACAAAUCAAAUUCUUAAAUUAUAACGAAGUACUCAUUUACAAUUCAUUAACAGAGAGUCAAAUCCAUAUCUAAUUCACCAAACAAUUCAUAAGAAUAUUCCUUUUGUCUUUUUUUUUAAAUCCAUCAUAAAAUUCAAAACCCACUUAAAUUAACAUCAAUUAGAUAUUGUUAAAAUUUCCAACAGAAGUUGGUUAUUCUAAAACUAAAUUUUCAAGACAUAUUUGAAGAAUAUGACAAUUAAGGUUGCAUAUUGAAAUGAUAAAGAGUUCAUGAGAGCACUUGUGGAUGUUUAAAACAUUCAAGGGUCAAUAUAAAAUACUAGAAAAGUUUGGACUUGAAUGUAAAAUUAUGUCUUUUAUUUCCUCAUCUUAACCCACAUUCCCAGUCAUGUUUCAUUCUCGUAGCCAUCAAUGUCUUCAGCCAUCUUCUCUACUUCGCUGGUCUUUCUCCUCUUUUUUCAUUUCGUCAAUUUUCUACAUUUUUAUCCUCUAUUCUUCUAAUAAGCAACAAAAUAGUUUUCUUACUCUAUUCAUUUGUUCUUCCUUUCUUUUUUUAUUCCUUUGAAAUCUUUCUCUCUUUCUGUCUCUCUCUUUUUUGAUUCUCCAUCUUUUGUCGCUCUUUUUUUUUUCUUUGGCCUUUCUUGAGUUUAGAUUUGUUACUACUACUAUUUAUUUAAUAGAUAAAAUUAAAUAACAAUAUGAAAUUAGGUUGGAUUCUGAAGAGGAUUGGGGAAAUUUUGAUAAUAAAAAAAGGUCAGCAUAAAAUUGGGAAAAAUGGAAAAUCCGGUUCAUAUUGCGUCUCCGGUUUUCGGUCAAAUUUGAUUUUUUAUCGGCUUUGACCAAUCUUUUACUAAGCUGAUUUUAGGUAAAGUUGGACCAGACUACUAUCCGGUUCUCAAUUCAAUCGAUUGAACCAAUUAGUCUAGUCCGAAUGGUUAAAUGAUUAUCAAUUAAAUAAAAAGUUAUUUUAUGUAUCAAUCCUUACAUCUCCUGCUACUACUGGCGGAGUAACAGCUAGUUUUGGUAUGUUGGGUGAUACAUUAUUGCUACUAGCGGAGUAACAGCCAGUUUUGGUAUAUUGGGUAAUAUCAUUAUUACCGAACCCAAUGCCUAUAUUGCAUUUGCAGGUAAAAAAGUAAUUGAACUAACAUUGAAUACAACAGUACCUCUUGAAAGUUCACAAGCCGCUAAAUAUUUAUUCCAGAAGGGUUUAUUUGACAUAAUCGUACUACGUAAUCAUUUAAAAAGCAUUCUUACAUAGUGAGUUAUUUCACUUCUAUGCUUUUGUUCCUUUGAAUCAAAAUGAAACAGAGCACUGAGUUCAACAAUUAUUUGUUAUUUGUCAUAAAUGAGUAGGUAGUUUAUCGGAAUCAUAGGAAAUAAGAAUGGAAUUUUCUUUGGUGGCAUAAAUUCGAAUUAUAGAACGAAUCACAAGUUGUGGAUAAUUCUUUUUUACUUAUAUUUCUUAUUUCUGAUUCUUAAUUAAAUUUUUAAUUAAGAAGUCUCUAUCAAAAAAAAAAAAAGAUUGAAUUCUUCAAAUUAGAGUCAUACCCAAAUUACAACACAAUGAUCUACAAACUUACAUCACCUAUUAUAACAAGUUUACGCAACACUAUAAAAGGCUUCUUUAAUAUUGCCAAAUUUUGACUAAGCCGUUCUUUCAUUAAAUUUUAUCAUCAAUACAUGAAGGGCCAUGUCCAUCAUUCACUAGGUGGUCUUCAGCCUAGUUGUAACGGAAAAGGCAGGCCAAGUUGGUCUUUUUUUUUUUAUUUUUUUAAUAUUUUAUGUUUUGUCAACAUAACAUAUCUACCCUACAACUAUUUUAAUCUAUACUAGUAACUGUUUAACUGGGCCAAAAAAGAUUGGAGGGAGAGCAGAAAAAUCCACCUCUAUAAAUUAUUUGGAUCUGCCUACUUAGCCAAUUUUAUUGGAUACACUACUCCAAGUGUUCUGCAUGAGGAUAUCGUUAUCAACUUUAGGCAUACAUGCUAAGUUUUGUACUCCUACGCCCAAGAAAAAAAAAGUUUCGUACUCCCACUUAGUAAUGAAAAGUAACUAAACAUUUAGACAUUGAUUAGAUUGGGAAUAUGAAGUAUGAACUGCAUGUAGAGUAAAUAAAUUUGAACUGCAAAAGCAGCUAAUCUAUAUAAAUAUGCGAUAUCAUGUACGUAUAUAUCAACUUAAUACUGAUAACUGAACUUUCGUAGACGGAUUGAAGAGAGGACUCCCACAAAGUCACGAGUAGUAUAGCAGUAGCAUAGUCAACUAAGCAGCCAACAUGGAAAAAGAGGACUGUGCAGACUUUUCAUUUUUUCUUUUGCCCCUUUUUCGGGUAAACAACAGAAAAAGUACCGGAUUUGUCAAGUAUUCAUAAAUGAUUUGCAGCUAGACUACGUCUUCACUGUUCAAGAAAUCAUAUGGUAAGAAGCUGGCCUAUUUUCCACCAGGGAAUUAUGCCAGGAGCAUGAUUACUAUUUACCAUUCAUCACCACAUCUAGACAUACGAAAUGGGAUCUUCCAACUGUGGUUAUAAAACUCGGUCCGACCUGUCGGUUCAAUCAUUCAAACCCAUGAAUUAGCCACCUAGCCUAGCUGGUUUAAAGUUAGACCAAACAAGUAAUUAACUUGUUAACUAGUCAACAACUCAACGAUUCAACUGUUCAAGCAGAAAAAAUUGUCGAUUGAAUCGUCAAUUGAACUGUUAACUUAAAAAUUAUAUUAUUAUUGUAAUUUAAAAUAUAUUAUUGUAUUAUAUAAUAUAACUAAUAGGUGAUCUGGCCAAUCUUCAAUUGAACCAGAAACUCAUUGAACCGGUCACAUCUCUAAGUUGAGGUUCAGGUUGGCUUUUUUAGCUAUGCCUUCAACAAAAAGAAAGAGAGAAGGUAAAUGAAAUGGAAAACAAAUCAUGGAACAACCCAAGUUUUACGCUUCAAUUUAUUUGUUUUUUGGUUUGAUUACAAAGAAUAGAAAGCGACCUAGGAUGUCGUUUUAUUACUGUUAAGACCAGAGAUUCCAUCCAUCCAAAUAUCAUUUGCUUUGUACAUUAUUUCUAUUAGCAAAGCUUGUCUUAAAAAUUCCAAUCAUUAAUAAGACCAGAAUCUAAGAUUUUUUUCCUUUUUUUUUUGGUAAAAAAAUGCGUUUCUUUAUUAAUGCCAGUUCUUUAGAGAGAAAUGAUGGAUUGGGUGAUUUAGGAGAGGGACUAUAAGUAAAAAAUUCUGAAUUCAAAUCCUCUUAUUUACACGCACAUGCACACACACAUGUAUACCAGUCCUCCACUUUCUAACUGGGUUUCACCUUGGGUGGACUAUGCUUGCCCAAAAAUUUUCAUUUAGUAGGCCUAAUAAAUGGGCAUGUCAUAUUGUACGAACUAGCGUUGGAAUUAGGAGUGGAAUCGAGCGAGCGGAGUUGAAUUUAAACCUAAUCGAGUCAAGUUUCAACUUUCAAUAUAAUUUUACGAAACUCGAAUCUCGAGCUCGAGCUUAAAAAAAUAAAAAAUAUAAUUAUUUUAUUUUUAAAAAAUAAUAAAAUAAUAAUUUUAUUUUUAAAAAAUAAUAAAAUAAUAAUUUUUCUUAACAAAUAAUAAAAUAUUAAGGAUAUAUAUAUAAUUUUACUAUUAAAAUAAAAAAAUUAUAUAUAUAUAUACAUAUUUAUAAUCGAGUUCGAACCGGCUCGCAAGCUAAUGAGUUUAAUAUUUUUGAAUUCAAGUUUGACUUGGUCAGCUCGAUCUCAACUCGAGUUUAUUGUUAACCGAAUUCGGACUCGAAUCACUCGCGAGCCGAUUUGUUUGCGGCCCUAGUUGAAAUAAGGCAAAUAGACCUUCCUUUUCAUUCUUUACUCUCUGUUUGAUGAACCCAUCCAAGGAUCUAUAAUGAAAGUCACCCAAAAAUUCAAACUAUAAAUUCAUACUUAAAAAUAAUCAAAAUUUCAUAAUGUGUAAAAAUUUAGUCAUGUUGUUAUGCUUAUAUAUUGGAAAUACUAAUCGUAAUUCACUAACCUUAGAUCGAUAGUGCAUCACAUCAAUAUACAGGAGAUAAAACCAUACCAAAUUCCUAUCAAUAUUGAUGCCUUUUUCCCUGUGCAUGCAUUAGGCCUGGCCUUGUCCACAUCUGGUGUCAUGAAUAAUAAGCUACACCCCUCACAUUCGUGAGUUAACUAGGCAGCCGACUCUCAAGUCUCAACCUCUCACAAGAACUUAACACAUUGCAAAUACAAGGGGUGCGAUCUUCUGAACCUACACAUUUCCUUAAAGCCUGGCAUUAACCUUGAUUGGUUGCAAAUCCCACCUGACCACCAUCUAUUUGUUUAGGCUAGUCUUCCACGGAAGAGAACUCUAGAAAAGGUGCAGGCAUAGGCAUUCCGUCCAAUGAAUCACAAUUCACAAGCAUAAGUUGACCGAAGGGAGGCUGACUUCAUCUAGAAAGCCUAAAAUUUAAUUGGCGCAACAUAUCAGUAACCUUAGUUGAACGGCUAAUACUUGGAGGUAAACCCGGACUAUCAUCUAUAGCCCUAGUUUUAGAUCAUAUGGUAUACUGGAGGCUAUGGUGUCUCAGCAACUCUUGUACUUACGUGCAUUCAUGACUAGUGAUGUGAUGAAGCCGAAUUCAAUCGAGUUAUUUACGAACUUGAAUAUUGUAUUUGUUAUUUAAAAUUCUAAAACAUGCUAAUGUACUUCACUUAAAUUUAAUGAGUUAAAUUUAGCUUAAAUUCAAUCAAGUUCAAACUCAAGUUAAAGUAAACUAAAAUUAAAUUGAGCUUCACUUUGAAUUCAAGAUCAAAUAUUCUAACUCAAAUCAAAUUUAAAUAAUACACUAUUUGAGUUCGAUUCAAACUAUAUCCACGUGUCUUUUGGACAUAUCAGAAGCUCUACAAGUUGUAGAUAGGGCUUUAUAUUCACGAUGACAUUACACGGUGUAAGGAUUCGUGAAUUAGCCGCGGAAACACGACACUCCCUAUGCUCACUGUUUAGUCGGUCAACAAAAGCAGCAGCCAGCAGCCCAGCGCCAAAGAUAAACUCAGCAGCCGUUCAUUCUUCUCAUGGCGACCAUAACGAAUCCACACUAUAAAUAUACGCCAAAACCUCUCAUUCCAACGCCACCCCACCAACAUUUCAAUCUCUUUUAGCUCGUCCUAGCAUAAGGAGAAUCUACAUUGUCCCCUACCCAUCCUUCACUUCAGUAACCAUGGCAAAAUUUGUCAUACUUUCCUUCUUGAUUUCGCUCAACAUCUUAUCUUUUCCUUCCCCAGGAUCAGCCAUCUCCUCAUGCAAUGGUCCAUGCAAAACCUUGAAUGAUUGCGACGGCCAGUUAAUUUGCAUUGGAGGAAAAUGUAACGACGAUCCUGACGUUGGAACCCACAUAUGCAGCGGAAGCUCGCCUUCCGGGCCAUCCCCUCCGGGCAAUUGCCGCCCAACUGGCUCUAUGACGUGUAAAGGAGUGACUAAACCCACCUAUACAUGCUCUCCCCCGG
This 6592-nucleotide long non-coding RNA is filed under the name Coffea arabica (coffee). Its description in RNAcentral is "long non-coding RNA (CARA_LNC000727)". The record is from RNAcentral. Lineage: Eukaryota; Viridiplantae; Streptophyta; Magnoliopsida; Gentianales; Rubiaceae.